Molecule: microRNA, 22 nt
Filed under: Haplochromis burtoni (Burton's mouthbrooder)
Lineage: Eukaryota; Metazoa; Chordata; Actinopteri; Cichliformes; Cichlidae
Also listed under: 1 other name
Description: abu-miR-7133-3p
Source: miRBase by way of RNAcentral
UAGUUUGAUACACAGCACAAUA